AACCUAGUGCCUAUAGCUAAGGCAGGUACCUGCAUCCUUGUUUUUGUUUAGUGGAUCCUCUAUCCUUCAGAGACUCUGGAACCCCUGUGGUCUUCUCUUCAUCUAAUGACCCUGAGGGGAUGGAGUUUUCAAGUCCUUCCAGAGAGGAAUGUCCCAAGCCUUUGAGUAGGGUAAGCAUCAUGGCUGGCAGCCUCACAGGAUUGCUUCUACUUCAGGCAGUGUCGUGGGCAUCAGGUGCCCGCCCCUGCAUCCCUAAAAGCUUCGGCUACAGCUCGGUGGUGUGUGUCUGCAAUGCCACAUACUGUGACUCCUUUGACCCCCCGACCUUUCCUGCCCUUGGCUCCUGGGAUCGAGGGAUGCAGUACAGCCACAGCAUCAUCACGAACCUCCUGUACCAUGUGGUCGGCUGGACCGACUGGAACCUUGCCCUGAACCCCGAAGGAGGACCCAAUUGGGUGCGUAACUUUGUCGACAGUCCCAUCAUUGUAGACAUCACCAAGGACACGUUUUACAAACAGCCCAUGUUCUACCACCUUGGCCACUUCAGCAAGUUCAUUCCUGAGGGCUCCCAGAGAGUGGGGCUGGUUGCCAGUCAGAAGAACGACCUGGACGCAGUGGCACUGAUGCAUCCCGAUGGCUCUGCUGUUGUGGUCGUGCUAAACCGCUCCUCUAAGGAUGUGCCUCUUACCAUCAAGGAUCCUGCUGUGGGCUUCCUGGAGACAAUCUCACCUGGCUACUCCAUUCACACC
Molecule: unclassified non-coding RNA, 749 nt
Filed under: Homo sapiens (human)
Lineage: Eukaryota; Metazoa; Chordata; Mammalia; Primates; Hominidae
Description: glucosylceramidase beta 1 (ENSG00000262446.5)
Source: RNAcentral